GUCAUGCCAAUGGCAUUGCCCGGUAGCUAAGUGCGGAAAAGAUAAGCGCUGAAAGCAUCUAAGCGCGAAACUUGCCUCAAGAUGAGUCUUCCCUGGGCCUUUAAGGCCCCUGAAGGAACGUUUAAGACUAAGACGUUGAUAGGCUGGGUGUGUAAGUGCAGCGAUGCAUUGAGCUAACCAGUACUAAUGAUCCGUGAGGCUUAACCUUACAACACCGAAGGUGUUU
Molecule: ribosomal RNA, 226 nt
Filed under: Serratia nematodiphila
Lineage: Bacteria; Pseudomonadati; Pseudomonadota; Gammaproteobacteria; Enterobacterales; Yersiniaceae
Description: partial 23S ribosomal RNA
Rfam family: Bacterial large subunit ribosomal RNA
Source: RNAcentral